Molecule: long non-coding RNA, 641 nt
Filed under: Carica papaya (papaya)
Lineage: Eukaryota; Viridiplantae; Streptophyta; Magnoliopsida; Brassicales; Caricaceae
Description: long non-coding RNA (CPAP_LNC006165)
Source: RNAcentral
CCUCAGUCAGCAUUAUCAAUCACAUAUAAACAAGCAAAACGAUAAUUUAUGCCAAACAGACAACAUAUAGCAUCAAUAUCCCGGUCAUUCAAUCCAUAAUCAAUAAAACAGUAAAAUAUGCACACGAAACUAUAAAAUGAAAACAUCGAACCUCAUGCUGCAUUUAAAACUGUAAAACAGGCCAAAUAACAGUUAACCGACAAACACACUAGACUCGGGCUCCAUUAGCGACCUUAAGCAAUUUCACACAUUCGUUGAUUCAUGAAAUAUCGUUUUAUCAUUUAUUGGACUUUAAAACCGUGAUAGGAAAUAGGGUGAGGGGUCCUUACUCGUUUCGGGGUCCGAACACGGCUUCACAGUGCGCUUGCAGGCUGUCCCUAAUUUUCCCUGAAUUUUUCUCGGAGAACUGAAACGCACUACUGGUACCUGCACGUGUUCCAAAAAAUCCCAAAUUAGGCACAGGGCCCCUUUCGGCCAAUAUCGCAACUCCGGCACGGCGGCUCUGCCGUGCUCCGGCGACGGCACCGCCGCUGGCGGCGGCGAUUCACCUCGGGUUGGCUGUUUUCGGCCACACUUGCAUCGAUCCUUGCGAUUAAACAACUCUAAGGCCCUCGAGGGGCCAAAAAAUAAUGGAAAAUCGA